AUUGCAAAUAUUAGGAUAUGAAAUAACGAUUACAUAAAGGAAAUGUAUAAUUUAGAAAAUUAAAACCAUUAUCUAAACUAUUCCUAAUAAAAUACAUGAGGAAAAUUUGGAGUAACGAGAAUUUUGGGAAACGUAAAUUCAAGCAGGACAGAUGUGGACCUGCUUUUUAUUAAUAUAGACUACAAGAGAUAACAGUAAUUCGGAAAAUAAAAAUAAGAGACAAAAAUUUAUUCUCAAUAAAAUAAGAGACAAAAAUUUAGGAUAACGUGAAUUCAAUUAAAACAUAUACGGACAUACCAUUUACUAAUGUGGAUUAUGAAUAAUGGAUCUUUUACGGGUUAAAAUUAUUUUAAUAUGUUGUGAAGCAUGCAUAGCGGACGGGAAGUUUUUUUUAGGAAAUAUAUUUAAGUUAUCUAGGAAGGGAAGUUCUUUUGUUUUCAUCCGGUUUGAUAGUUCACGGGUUUAACGGAAAUUAAGAUGAUUACUAAUUUGGUUCACAUUCAAUUUGGAUUCGCUAUCCUAUCGAUCCAAAGUUUAUUGUGAAGCGAUUAUUAUUUCAAGCAUUCAUAAACUUAAUAAAAACAUACCAAUGUAUGUUUAUGUUACAAAUGUUAUACGAAAUAAAUAUAUCUACGAAUAAGUCUCAAUCAUUGACCUAUUU
Molecule: long non-coding RNA, 661 nt
Filed under: Capsella grandiflora
Lineage: Eukaryota; Viridiplantae; Streptophyta; Magnoliopsida; Brassicales; Brassicaceae
Description: long non-coding RNA (CGRA_LNC000949)
Source: RNAcentral